UUUCACAUCGUAAAUUUAGACGUGGAUGUCGUGAAUCUGAACAAGAAAGUGAAACAAGUACAAUUGGCAGUUUUACCGGAUAUUUUGGUGUCAGAUGGAAUCUGCUACUACCCUAAUACCAAGAAUUCCCUGCCCUAUGUCUUGAGAAGAUCCUCCGUUGGAAAAAAUAGGAAAACAUAUCCAUCAACCAUCAAGUCAACGUUUGAUACCUACACAGAAGCUAGAAUCAAGUUGGCAGGAAUGAAUUCUGACAUUGAUACUACAGAUUCUCAACAUGAGGCAUCUGCUGCUGUGAAUUAGGAGGGUAGACCCAAACGCAAAAAGAGGAAACCUACAAGACAAUUGAGCGCAGAUGAAUCAGCAGAAGACUCAGAUAGUGAUUCUUAUUUGGAAGAUUGUGACGAUGAUGUUCUACUGGCUUAUGUGCUGAAAAAAAUAAAACUGCCACAUGUUAUGUACCCCCACAAUCUUCUACGGAACCUGAUAGACAGGUCUUUACUGUUCCUCUUACUGUCAAUGAUGUAAGAAGCAGCCAGCAACCAACAGCUGGAUUAGUUAAUCAGUUGAACCAGCCAGCAAUAAUGCCUCCACCUCGUCAGCAAUCUUUUAUUCUAGACCAUGUAUCCAACGGAGAACCAUCAAGUAGUUGUCAUCGUGAAAGUUAUCACGCUCCACCGCGUUCUCAACAGCAGCUCUACCCAACUUCUGAUUCAUGGUCACACAAUAGUGCCAUGCAGCAGCAAACACACACUGCAGUAUCAAACGAAACUUUUCAGAAUGACCAAUACUCUACAAGUGCCCCAUCAGAUUAUUUGAACUCUCCACAGCCUGGAACUUCUGGUGUGAACUAUCACAUCAAUGGUUAUCAGCAACAAUCCAGGAUUUCAUAGAACAGAUAUACUUAACUGAAAUCGGUCGUGUUGUGAACACUGUUCCAGAGACUCCUUUAUUGACUCAAAAUCUUCAAAGCAACACCCCUGAUGCAGUUUCAGCUCUGUCUCGAAGAGAACGCCGAGCAGGAAUCUUUUGAAUUGUCAGUUUUCAAGUUCGUAGCCCAAAUUUCUCAAGGGAUUGAGAAACUUUCAAAAGCUUUACAAGUAAUAAUAAGUAUCACGAUUGAGAAAGGACAAUCUUCAAUCGCAUUGCCAACGAUGGAAUUCGACGGCCUACCUGUUAAAGAUAUUGAAUCACUACGAUUGUUGUUGUUCUUUGUUCGUUUUUUUUCAUUUGUGUUGAUUUACCUCCCUUGUUUCCAUCAAACCCGUCUCAACACAAAAAAUAAUCUUGAAUUGUCUUACACUUAUCGCUGUAUUUGUAAGUGGAAAAUACAAUGAGUUUUACAUUUAA
Molecule: long non-coding RNA, 1347 nt
Organism: Daphnia pulicaria
Lineage: Eukaryota; Metazoa; Arthropoda; Branchiopoda; Diplostraca; Daphniidae
Exons: 4
Source: RefSeq, a predicted model, not a curated record